This is a non-coding RNA of Schleiferia thermophila str. Yellowstone, 124 nucleotides long. Lineage: Bacteria; Pseudomonadati; Bacteroidota; Flavobacteriia; Flavobacteriales; Schleiferiaceae. The record is from Rfam.
GAUAAAGGACUGGACUAUCGGAUAGGGCUUUCAGGAGCUGUUUCCAAACCGCCUUGUGGUGCUGCACCUUCAUGGUGUGGUACUGAGCGACAAGGUCAAAGCAAGUUCAUGCCCACUUGUAGGG